RNAcentral lists this transfer RNA (71 nucleotides) under Microcaldota archaeon. RNAcentral describes it as "tRNA-Gly". It matches the Rfam family "tRNA". Rfam says of the family: Transfer RNA (tRNA) molecules are approximately 80 nucleotides in length. Their secondary structure includes four short double-helical elements and three loops (D, anti-codon, and T loops). Further hydrogen bonds mediate the characteristic L-shaped molecular structure. tRNAs have two regions of fundamental functional importance: the anti-codon, which is responsible for specific mRNA codon recognition, and the 3' end, to which the tRNAs corresponding amino acid is attached (by aminoacyl-tRNA synthetases). tRNAs cope with the degeneracy of the genetic code in two manners: having more than one tRNA (with a specific anti-codon) for a particular amino acid; and 'wobble' base-pairing, i.e. permitting non-standard base-pairing at the 3rd anti-codon position. Lineage: Archaea; Nanobdellati; Microcaldota. The record is from RNAcentral.
GCGCUGGUGGUCUAGUGGUAUGAUCUUAGCCUUCCAAGCUAAAGGUCCGGGUUCAAUUCCCGGCCGGCGCA